RNAcentral lists this long non-coding RNA (233 nucleotides) under Mytilus galloprovincialis (Mediterranean mussel). The record is from RNAcentral. Lineage: Eukaryota; Metazoa; Mollusca; Bivalvia; Mytilida; Mytilidae.
UGGUGGAUGUAAGGUGUUACGAGAGUUCCAGACUUCCCUACAGGCUUCAAUACCAUCAUCAUGGGGGAUAUUAGUAUAGAGGGAGGUAACAUCAAGCGAGACAAGGAUCGUUUCAGGUGGGAGAGGGUUCAAAGAUUCCAUUUUUUUAAGAUAAUGUGUUGUGUCUUGUAUAUAUGAUGGUAAAUUUUCUACGUGUGGUCGGAGAUGAAAGUCAAUAAAUUCUGAUAUUUUCU